RNAcentral lists this ribosomal RNA (698 nucleotides) under uncultured bacterium. RNAcentral's name for it is "bacterial SSU rRNA". It matches the Rfam family "Bacterial small subunit ribosomal RNA", at positions 56 to 789 of the family's 1533-position model. The record is from RNAcentral.
UGCAGUCGAACGAGAAAGCCCGCAAGGGUGAGUAAAGUGGCGUACGGGUGAGUAACACGUGGGUAAUCUACCUUCUGGUGGGGAAUAACGCUGGGAAACCGGCGCUAAUACCGCAUAAUCCCGCAAGGGGAAAGGAGAAAUUCGCCGGAAGAGGAGCCCGCGGCUGAUUAGCUAGUUGGUGAGGUAAUGGCUCACCAAGGCAAUGAUCGGUAGCCGGCCUGAGAGGGCACACGGCCACACUGGCACUGAAACACGGGCCAGACUCCUACGGGAGGCAGCAGUGGGGAAUCUUGCACAAUGGGGGAAACCCUGAUGCAGCGACGCCGCGUGAGCGAUGAAGCCCUUCGGGGUGUAAAGCUCUUUCGGCAGGAACGAUAAUGACGGUACCUGAAGAAGAAGCUGCGGCUAACUACGUGCCAGCAGCCGCGGUAAUACGUAGGCAGCAAGCGUUGUUCGGAGUUACUGGGCGUAAAGAGUGCGUAGGCGGUGCUCUAAGUUUGGUGUGAAAUCUCCCGGCUUAACUGGGAGGGUGCGCCGAAAACUGGAGUGCUUGAGUAUGGGAGAGGCAAGCGGAAUUCCUGGUGUAGCGGUGAAAUGCGUAGAUAUCAGGAGGAACACCUGUGGUGUAGACAGCUUGCUGGACCAUCACUGACGCUGAGGCACGAAAGCGUGGGUAGCAAACAGGAUUAGAUACCCUG